CAAGAAAUAGUUUAAUUAAAAUUUUAAUUUUGGAGAUUAAAGAUGGGAUAAGUAUUCUUUUCUUGA
RNAcentral lists this transfer RNA (66 nucleotides) under Hemipeplus sp. HEM01. Its description in RNAcentral is "tRNA-Pro". Lineage: Eukaryota; Metazoa; Arthropoda; Insecta; Coleoptera; Mycteridae. The record is from RNAcentral.